This 449-nucleotide ribosomal RNA is filed under the name uncultured bacterium. Its description in RNAcentral is "partial 16S ribosomal RNA". It matches the Rfam family "Bacterial small subunit ribosomal RNA", at positions 354 to 796 of the family's 1533-position model. The record is from RNAcentral.
GUCGAGAAUCUUUCACAAUGGGGGCAACCCUGAUGGAGCGACGCCGCGUGGAGGAUAAGGUCUUCGGAUUGUAAACUCCUGUCAUGCGUGAACAAGGUUGCUUGGUUAAUACCUGGGCAAAUUGAUGGUAACGCAAGAGGAAGAGACGGCUAACUCUGUGCCAGCAGCCGCGGUAAUACAGAGGUCUCAAGCGUUGUUCGGAAUCACUGGGCGUAAAGGGUGCGUAGGUGGCGUGGUAAGUCAGAUGUGAAAGCCCGGGGCUCAACCUCGGAACUGCAUCCGAUACUGCCAUGCUAGAGUACAGGAGAGGUGACUAGAAUUCUCGGUGUAGCAGUGAAAUGCGUAGAUAUCGAGAGGAAUACCAAAGGCGUAGGCAGGUCACUGGACAGUUACUGACACUGAGGCACGAAGGCCAGGGGAGCGAACGGGAUUAGAAACCCCUGUAGUCC